Molecule: long non-coding RNA, 1341 nt
Organism: Haemorhous mexicanus (house finch)
Lineage: Eukaryota; Metazoa; Chordata; Aves; Passeriformes; Fringillidae
Exons: 2
Source: RefSeq, a predicted model, not a curated record
UGGUCUUGCGGCCCAGCACCCGCUUGCCGUUCACCUGGUGCUCCUGGUCUGCCCCCACCACAGCGAAGGGAAUCUUCUCCUGCCAGCAGAGGCUGUGCUCGCCCCAGGGUGAGUGUGUCAGCUUUGGCGAUCACCGGCACCACGUUGACGAUCUUGCUGAGCCGCCGCAUGAACUCCAGGUCCAGCGGGCGCAGCCUGACAAGGGCCACCGUCACUCCAGGCUGUCCCCACCUCUGCCACUGGGAGGUGACCCCACCACUACCACACCAGAGUCACUCUGAGGUGACCCCAGCACUACCACCCUGAGGGACCUUCCCCACUACCACCCCAGGUUGAUACCCUAUCUCUGUCACCCUGCAGUGAUCCCACCAUCAUCAUCCCAGGGUGACACAACCACCCCACAGUGACCACCCAAACACUGUCACCACGGGGUGACCACACCACUACCACUCCAGAGUCACCCUGAGGUGCCUCCACCACCAUCACCUCAGGGUGGGGUUAUCACCCCAGACUCCACCACCAUCACCUCAGGGUGACCCCACCACCGUCAUGCCAGGGUGGCACAACUACCCCGUGGUGACCCCAUCACCUGUGGGUGCUCUGAGUGAGGGUCACUCACCAGUGACCUGUUGGGGGCACAAAGUAGACACAUCCAUGGACGCGGGUGUCCGGGAUCUUCCUCUUGCGGGUGAUGAGGAUCUCCUCCCGCAGGUAUCUCUCGUACUGCUCAUUGAUGUAUUUGAUGAUGGGGUCCCAGCUGAGGAGGAGGAGUUGAGGGACAGCAUCUGAGCUCAACCCCUUCCCCAAACUGCCACCCACUGAGCUGGGCUCCUGCUCCCCAUUGUGUCCUACCAGUUCUCAUUGUUGAUCUGGUCCCCAAAGCCUGGUGUGUCAGUCACCGUCAGCUUCAUCUUCACCCCCUUCUCCUGGAUGACUGUGGGGCAGAGGUGGGUCAGGGGGGAAGAAACAUUGGGGAAAAGCAGGGGACCAGGCAUGGGGGGUGUUUUGAGGCUGUGAACGCAGCUUCAGACCCCCAGCCCAGUCCCCUGAGGGCUGGUGGGACACGACCCCGUGGUGGGACCUUACUGUGGGUGAUGGACUGGAGCUGCACUGUUUUGGGAAUACGUUCCUCCUGGCCGGGCUGCGAGGAUUUGCGGCUCACCUUGGACUUGAAGAGGGUGUUCACCAUCGUGGACUUCCCCAGCCCGCUCUGCCCUGAGGGGACACCAGCAGCUCUGGUUUGUCCCCCAGGGCAGGAACAUCUUGAUAUCCACUUGGGAGCAACCCAGAGUUUAGGAUAACUGCUUUAUCCCCAAAUAAAUUUCUUCCCCAAGGCAAUAA